UACGAAGGGUGCAAACGUUGCUCGGAAUCAUUGGGCGUAAAGCGCACGUAGGCGGCUUCGCAAGUCGGAUGUGAAAUCCCGUGGCUCAACCAUGGACGUGCAUUCGAAACUGCGAAGCUUGAGUAUGGAAGAGGGUGGCGGAAUUCCCGGUGUAGAGGUGAAAUUCGUAGAUAUCGGGAGGAACACCAGUGGCGAAGGCGGCGACCUGGGCCAAGACUGACGCUGAGGCGCGACAGCGUGGGGAGCAAACAGG
This 253-nucleotide ribosomal RNA is filed under the name uncultured bacterium. Its description in RNAcentral is "partial 16S ribosomal RNA". It matches the Rfam family "Bacterial small subunit ribosomal RNA", at positions 524 to 776 of the family's 1533-position model. The record is from RNAcentral.